CGUAUCGUCUUUGCAUCAUUCUCGAAUAAAGUAUCCUUCAUUGCUAAUUCAACAUCAAUCUAUCUCAAUCAUCAUCCCGCUUCCUCGCUAUAGUCAUUCAUCACUAAUUCGCGGAUCCUACGUCAAUGAUCCGGUCUCUAUCGUUAUCUCUCCACAAACUUGUGUUCAUCAUCUCCCGCAUAUGGUGCGUCUGCAAAUUUUUCGUUCGGAUUUGUUUCGGUCCAAAAUCAAGGUCCGUAAAUAUGUUGCGGUUAAAUGGUUAGAUGCCAGUUUUCUUAAAACCAGCCUGAAUACAGCUGUUGGAAGUGAGAGCUAAUGGCACAACAGUGGCUACAAUACCAGACAAGGAUUACGCACUUCAUCUUUCCUGCCAAUUCGAGAUUCCAGCGGUGAGGCGCUGCAAUGGCCUGCUAAUAACUUCGCCAUUUAGCGACACUUGAUGAUAGGUAUAACCAGAGGUGGUUAGCGGUGGUCAUUGCAGGUGGUUGACG
This 491-nucleotide long non-coding RNA is filed under the name Neodiprion pinetum (white pine sawfly). RNAcentral's name for it is "uncharacterized LOC124221712". The record is from RNAcentral. Lineage: Eukaryota; Metazoa; Arthropoda; Insecta; Hymenoptera; Diprionidae.